RNAcentral lists this ribosomal RNA (710 nucleotides) under Micromonospora sp. YIM 75718. RNAcentral describes it as "bacterial SSU rRNA". It matches the Rfam family "Bacterial small subunit ribosomal RNA", at positions 42 to 772 of the family's 1533-position model. Lineage: Bacteria; Bacillati; Actinomycetota; Actinomycetes; Micromonosporales; Micromonosporaceae. The record is from RNAcentral.
GGGUGCUUACCAUGCAAGUCGAGCGGAAGGCCCUUCGGGGUACUCGAGCGGCGAACGGGUGAGUAACACGUGAGCAACCUGCCCUAGGCUUUGGGAUAACCCCGGGAAACCGGGGCUAAUACCGGAUAGGACCUUCGGACGCAUGUCUGGGGGUGGAAAGUUUUUUCGGCCUGGGAUGGGCUCGCGGCCUAUCAGCUUGUUGGUGGGGUGAUGGCCUACCAAGGCGACGACGGGUAGCCGGCCUGAGAGGGCGACCGGCCACACUGGGACUGAGACACGGCCCAGACUCCUACGGGAGGCAGCAGUGGGGAAUAUUGCACAAUGGGCGGAAGCCUGAUGCAGCGACGCCGCGUGAGGGAUGACGGCCUUCGGGUUGUAAACCUCUUUCAGCAGGGACGAAGCGCAAGUGACGGUACCUGCAGAAGAAGCGCCGGCCAACUACGUGCCAGCAGCCGCGGUAAGACGUAGGGCGCGAGCGUUGUCCGGAUUUAUUGGGCGUAAAGAGCUCGUAGGCGGCUUGUCGCGUCGACUGUGAAAACCCGCGGCUCAACCGCGGGCCUGCAGUCGAUACGGGCAGGCUAGAGUUCGGUAGGGGAGACUGGAAUUCCUGGUGUAGCGGUGAAAUGCGCAGAUAUCAGGAGGAACACCGGUGGCGAAGGCGGGUCUCUGGGUCGAUACUGACGCUGAGGAGCGAAAGCGUGGGGAGCGAA